Molecule: unclassified non-coding RNA, 378 nt
Filed under: uncultured Parachlamydiaceae bacterium
Lineage: Bacteria; Pseudomonadati; Chlamydiota; Chlamydiia; Parachlamydiales; Parachlamydiaceae
Description: contains 16S-23S intergenic spacer region
Source: RNAcentral
UCCCGGUUAACCCGGGCAGUCUCACUAGAGUUCCCACCAUUACGUGUUGGCAACUAAUGAUAAGGGUUGCGCUCGUUGCGGGACUUAACCCAACACCUCACGGCACGAGCUGACGACAGCCAUGCAGCACCUGUGCAAAGGCUCCGAAGAGAGGGUACAUCUCUGUACCUGUCCUUUGCAUGUCAAACCUGGGUAAGGUUCUUCGCGUUGCAUCGAAUUAAACCACAUUCUCCACUGCUUGUGCGGGUCCCCGUCAAUUCUUUUGAGUUUCAGCCUUGCGACUGUACUCCCCAGGCGGUAUACUUAACGCGUUCGCUACGACACAACCGGGGUUGAUUCCAGUUACAUCUAGUAUACAUCGUUUACGGCAAGGACUAC